This 1200-nucleotide long non-coding RNA is filed under the name Homo sapiens (human). RNAcentral describes it as "HSALNT0290068". Lineage: Eukaryota; Metazoa; Chordata; Mammalia; Primates; Hominidae. The record is from RNAcentral.
UAAAGGUCAUGUGUUGGAAACUUAAUCCCCACUACAACACUGUUGGGAGGUCAGGCCUAAUAAGAGGUGAUUAGGUCAUGAAUGGAUUAACGUCAUUACCUUGGGAGUGAGUUAGUUAUUACAGGAGUGGCUUUUUUUUAAUAAAAAGGGCGCUGGGACAUGGUAUCGUAAAUGAUGCCAUGGGGAUACAGUCAGCAAAAUCCAGACUAUGGAAGACUCUACGGGGCAAAUGACUUGGCUUCUUUAACCAAUUCUCUGAGGAAGAAUGAGUAAGUAAGAGAGAAAAAAAGAGCAGGAGUGUGCUGGAAUGAGAACAUAUAGCCUGAAAAAGUCAAAGAAAUAAUCAACCAAUUGCAAUAUGUAGACCUUACUUGGAUACUGUCUGAGCCAAACAAACUGUAAAAUGAAAGAUGGCAUUUGUGAAACAACCGAAAUGUUGAACAGUGACUGGGACCUCAACAACCACCAAUUUCAUCUGUGCAGACAACUGAGACCCAGCCUGCUAUUCCAGUGAGCCGUGGACUUGCGGUGGAUCUUUCUCCUGUCAGCCCAUUCCCCCAGCCCUGGCCCGGAGGCAGCAGAUUUUGUGCAAUAAGCUCUGUUCAGGUUGACCGGCUAUUGCUCCUCUGAAUUCAUAAGAUCUGUUACUUGCAGCACCCCUUUAAGAACAGAUGAUGUCCCAGUUCCCAGUGGGACUCCAGGAACAGUAUCUGGAUGGCUUCUAAAGAACUCUUUUUCCAGCUGGAACCCAAACCCUAGGUCAGCUCCACUGUUUCCUCCCAAUGCCUUUGGUCCUAUCGCUCCUGCCACAAGGCACAGGGAAGGGCCUGGCUGGAGGGAAAGGCAGUUCAUGCAGUUCCAACUGCCUCCCAGCCCUGACCCCAAAUGUCAAUCAGGCUCCCGUGACAAGACAGGGCCUGCAGUGUCCUAGAAGAGUGGACACUAUUCCUGAGGCCAGUGCAGAAUCUCUGUUCCAGUGGGCAGUUGGAAAAUGAGGAAUGUCACCCUUUAUUGCAGCUUACAUAUUUCAUGCACCUGCACCUUUCUUUCUGAUCUUUCCAACACGGAAUGGCCUGAUUUCCAUGCACCAUUAGAGGUACGUGGCCUGGACUAAAAUGUCAGUAACAACCAGGACAACUGCGACCAUGAGAAGAGCUGCCAUUUAUUCUGCAUGGACCUUGUGCCAGGUGCCGGGGAGGG